CUACGGGAGGCUGCAGUGAGGAAUAUUGGUCAAUGGGCGCGAGCCUGAACCAGCCAUCCCGCGUGCAGGAUGACGGCCCUAUGGGUUGUAAACUGCUUUUCUAUGCCAAGAAACCCUGUUACGAGUAACAGGUUGCCGGUAGCAUAGGAAUAAGCAUCGGCUAACUCCGUGCCAGCAGCCGCGGUAAUACGGAGGAUGCAAGCGUUAUCCGGAUUCAUUGGGUUUAAAGGGUGCGCAGGUGGGCUUGUAAGUCAGUGGUGAAAUGCUGCCGCUUAACGGUAGAACUGCCAUUGAUACUGCGAGUCUUGAGUAUGGUUGAGGUAGGCGGAAUGUGUUGUGUAGCGGUGAAAUGCAUAGAUAUGACACAGAACGCCAAUUGCGAAGGCAGCUUACUAAGCCAUUACUGACGCUGAGGCACGAAAGCGUGGGGAGCGAACAGGAUUAGAUACCCCCGUAGUC
This 459-nucleotide ribosomal RNA is filed under the name uncultured bacterium. RNAcentral describes it as "partial 16S ribosomal RNA". It matches the Rfam family "Bacterial small subunit ribosomal RNA", at positions 339 to 795 of the family's 1533-position model. The record is from RNAcentral.